GUCUCAGUUCGGAUUGCAGGCUGCAACUCGCCUGUAUGAAGUCGGAAUUGCUAGUAAUCGCGGAUCAGCAUGCCGCGGUGAAUACGUUCCCGGGCCUUGUACACACCGCCCGUCACACCAUGAGAGCCGGGAACACCCGAAGUCCGUAGUCUAACCGUAAGGAGGACGCGGCCGAAGGUGGGUUUGGUAAUUGGGGUGAAGUCGUAACAAGGUAUC
This 216-nucleotide ribosomal RNA is filed under the name uncultured bacterium. RNAcentral describes it as "partial 16S ribosomal RNA". It matches the Rfam family "Bacterial small subunit ribosomal RNA", at positions 1285 to 1500 of the family's 1533-position model. The record is from RNAcentral.